This is a long non-coding RNA of Hydra vulgaris (swiftwater hydra), 599 nucleotides long. RefSeq lists it as uncharacterized. The record is from RefSeq and is a predicted model, not a curated record. NCBI's taxonomy places the organism in Eukaryota, Metazoa, Cnidaria, Hydrozoa, Anthoathecata, Hydridae.
UGUUAUCGCUAACUUGAAAGAUAAAAAUUGAUAAAAAGUAGCUUAACCAAAACAGUUCUAUGCGUACGUAAAAAUCGUGAAUUACAAGUAGACUUUGCUUGAAGUUUUUUUACAGUUUUUGAAGUAAUUUUUUUUUUUAAUUUUAAUAAAUGGUCUUUCUAUGUAUGUUGUUGACCAAUGGUUUAUAAUCAAAAGAAAUAUUUGAAGGAAUAAACAUUUGUAAGGUAGUUACUUAGAGCGUCAUGCCAAUUAAAACGAUUACUUUAGUUGCCGACAUAAGAAAAGGAAUAAUGAUUUUAUCAAAAUACGCACUCAACAGAUCGAAUGGUGGUGGUAGGCGCGUAAAAAGCAAUUCACUAGAUUUAUAACAUUUUUUCCUAAUUACUCUGGACAUAUUAUUAAAUAAAACAUUUUUUUUUUAAAUUUUUACUCUAUUUGCAUUGUGUAUGUCCCUUGUGUCUUUUUUUGUCCUUUGUGCCCUUUUUUGGGUAUGUCGCUUGUGUCCCUUAUUUAAUCUUUUUACUCUAUUUGCAUUGUGUAAGUUCCUUGAAGCAAUUUAGUUGUAUCUGAAUAAUUUACAUGAAAUAUAUAAUUUUUUG